Molecule: ribosomal RNA, 490 nt
Filed under: Streptococcus mutans
Lineage: Bacteria; Bacillati; Bacillota; Bacilli; Lactobacillales; Streptococcaceae
Description: bacterial SSU rRNA
Rfam family: Bacterial small subunit ribosomal RNA
Source: RNAcentral
GACGAACGCGGGCGGCGUGCUAAUACAUGCAAGUGGGACGCAAGGAAACACACUGUGCUUGCACACCGUGUUUUCUUGAGUCGCGAACGGGUGAGUAACGCGUAGGUAACCUGCCUAUUAGCGGGGGAUAACUAUUGGAAACGAUAGCUAAUACCGCAUAAUAUUAAUUAUUGCAUGAUAAUUGAUUGAAAGAUGCAAGCGCAUCACUAGUAGAUGGACCUGCGUUGUAUAGCUAGUUGGUAAGGUAAGAGCUUACCAAGGCGACGAUACAUAGCCGACCUGAGAGGGUGAUCGGCCACACUGGGACUGAGACACGGCCCAGACUCCUACGGGAGGCAGCAGUAGGGAAUCUUCGGCAAUGGACGAAAGUCUGACCGAGCAACGCCGCGUGAGUGAAGAAGGUUUUCGGAUCGUAAAGCUCUGUUGUAAGUCAAGAACGUGUGUGAGAGUGGAAAGUUCACACAGUGACGGAGCUACCAAAAGGCGCAUC